GAUUCUGGCUCAGAUUGAACGCUGGCGGCAGGCCUAAUACAUGCAAGUCGAACGGUAACAUAGGAAAAGCUUGCUUUCCUGAUGACGAGUGGCGGACGGGUGAGUAAUAUUUGGGAAGCUACCUGAUAGAGGGGGACAACAGUUGGAAACGACUGCUAAUACCGCAUACAGCCUGAGGGUGAAAGCAGCGAUGCGCUAUCAGAUGCGCCCAAAUGGGAUUAGCUAGUAGGUGAGGUAAAGGCUCACCUAGGCGACGAUCUCUAGCUGGUCUGAGAGGAUGAUCAGCCACAUUGGGACUGAGACACGGCCCAGACUCCUACGGGAGGCAGCAGUAGGGAAUAUUGCACAAUGGAGGAAACUCUGAAUGCAGCCACGCCGCGUGUGUGAAGAAGGCCUUCGGGUUGUAAAGCACUUUCGGAGGGGAGGAGAAUGACGUUACCCUCAGAAGAAGCACCGGCUAACUCCGUGCCAGCCGCCGC
Molecule: ribosomal RNA, 479 nt
Filed under: uncultured bacterium
Lineage: Bacteria
Description: bacterial SSU rRNA
Rfam family: Bacterial small subunit ribosomal RNA
Source: RNAcentral